This 4623-nucleotide long non-coding RNA is filed under the name Homo sapiens (human). Its description in RNAcentral is "non-protein coding lnc-FOXC1-4:1". Lineage: Eukaryota; Metazoa; Chordata; Mammalia; Primates; Hominidae. The record is from RNAcentral.
CCCCCAACAAGGGCAGAGUUCUGUUAAGGCCCUGGGCUUGCCCUGUGGUGUCAGGGCCAUGACCACCCACCCACACAGGAGCCUGGAGCCUUCCCCCAGUGCCUGCCCUGGCCAGGCCUCCUCUGUAGGUGUGGGUCCCCACAGCUUCAAGCUGUAAGCAGCAAAGUGAAAGAGGGGAAGGAGCGUCCUGAGUGGCGUUCUCAUAGGAGAGUCAUGUCCACCUGGGAAGCAGGGAGAUUUGGGCAAUCAUCCCACUCUUCCAGGAAGACAGCCAAAACCCCCACUGCCCCACAGUGAUGAUUAAAGUGCACAUUUCAACAGGCUUUGUGACAGACACUCCUGGCGGCAAGGUCUGGGAAAAGGAGGCUGCCAGUAAACCCCCUGCUAGCCUUGUUUUCUCUGAACUUCUGGCCCCAGUGGGAAAGGAAAUUAAAACUUCAUUUUUAAUUUUUAGUUAUGACCCAUUGUGCUGCAGGGUCAUGGCCGGGGGUUUAGAACACCUAGCGGUUUCCUGCUCCUCUCCGUGGAUUGGAAAAUGAGGCUUCGUGAGGCCCACCGUCCCGUGUGGCAUCAUCUGUGGGGCUGACAGCACCUGCCCCCUAGGUCGGUUGUCCCACUCCCACUCAGCACAGCCGCCACGCCAGGCUGCUGGGAGUGUCUGAGCUUCAGAACCCUGUUCUGGAGUGAAUGGAACAUACUCGACACCCUUGGAGCCAAGCAACUGAGAUGGACCAUUUUCAAUAGACUUCAGGGCCCUAUCAGAAAAUGCCAUCAAAUGAUUCCCACUGCUUUGGCCUGAAUACCCCCUCACUCAGCCACUCCUUCUGGCUGCGGCCCCUCCAGCUUCUGCUAGCAAAUGUCCCAUAGAGGGUCAAGGGACACUCCUCCUUCUCCCAGGAAGCUGGCACUUGGGUAUGCAACAACCUGCCUUCAAACGCCAGUGGCGGAGAGAUUCUGCAGCCUGAGUUUAGCACCCCAGUAGGCAAAGAGACCUGGGCUGAGAUGCACCCCAUUCCCCAGGCUGAAAAGAGACCACGGAUGGGACUUUUCUUUACCUGGGAAGAACAUACUCAUCACCACAUCAAAGCCCUCCAAAGGCAGAGAGGCCACAUUUUUAUUAGUUCAUGUCUGCUCCAGUGGCAGAUAUAGAGAAACAGUGGGAAGAUGAUGGGGGAAAGCAAGGUUCCAGGAAUGGUCUGGGUGUAUCAGUGAACAGCAGAGUCAUUAUAAAUACAUAAUGUAAUGUAGUCACAGAAAGGAAUUUUUUUUAAAGACAUGAUACACUGGGUGCAUACAAAGAGGCAAACACUGCAGGCUUCGGUGAGAACAAGACGUCCUUUAUUCUGCAGAUCCCAACCUUAGCUCAGCCCCAAAAGAAGACCGCAGACAGUUUGGAGCACCCCAAGUUCAGAGGAACAUUGAGACACUGGAAACCUUCCAGAAAGGAGCCACAAAGCUGAGUUGCAGGCUGCGAGGGCUGAGCAGUGGAGAGAGGGUCAACAGCAUUAAACACUGAGUAAGUGCUGUGGCUGUAAGUCAACCGGGGCAAGAAUGACCUACAAAUAAUCCCAGGGCCUCCCCGAUGAAGAAGGUUUCCAUUCUGCCCAGGAUGGAGACCUGGGCAGCUGUAGACCACACCCAGGCUCAGGGCCAAGGAGCCCAUGAUAUAUUUAUACACUUGCAGCUUCCAGGGCCCGUGGUUGCUGGCCUGCCUGUGCUACGAAUAGCAAGGUCAACUGUCAGGGACAUUGUCCUACAGGGGGUAACAAGCUCCAAAAGAAGCAGCCCCCAGGGACAGGGGAGUGAGCCCAGGUUAGUGUCAGGUGCGUUCCCCCCUCAUUUCACCCCUCCUCACUUCCAGCCCUUCCCCCCUUUCCUGUGCGCUCCUUCCUCCCCCCUACUCCUUGCAAGGACCCUUCUGUUACACCAGCUUCCCUAGUCCAGGAGGACAAUGAGAUGAUGAAGAGGUUUCCCUGAAGGUGCGAGUAGCUCUGAAAAUUCACCUCCGAGAGGGAAGCACCUGUGCAGAUAGUGAAGCCAGUGGACUUGGUGGCUGGGGACGGUCCUGGGCCACUGUCCUCCCCUGUGUGAGCUCCUCGCUUAGCCUGGAGCCACCGCAGCAUCAGGGGCAGAGACCAAGGUCUGCUAUCUUCCGGAACGAGCCGUCUAUCCUCCCCUUCCCACAACCAUCCCAAGCCUAUCUUUCCCUGAAACACACAACCGCUUGCUCUAAAUUUUUAAAAAAAGAUACACAAAGAUGUGAGAGAGUUACCUGCUGUUUUCCAGCUUUGAAAUCAAUGGUCUGAGAGAAAGCAGCUUUCUGGUCCACUAACAGGAUUGUUACUUGGAGCAGCUUAGGGAUGGAUUACUCAUGCCCCAGCUGGGGAACACUCUCAUGAGUCUACUUUAAAAAAAAUAUUACUACUGCAUUGGCUAAAAACAACCAAGGUCCAAUUUUAUAUGAAGUGAUAAAAUCAGCGUAGAGAAAAAUCCAUGAGCCAGCAAACCUGGACGAGAGGUCGUGGAUGACUUACCUGGGAGCCCAGCUUGCAGGGUGGCCGGAAAGCACCCCAUGCUUUGCUGGUGGAACUGGGGGCCACAAAGGGAGGGGAAAGCCAGAACUCUGGGAUCAGAAUCUUCAGAACCUGUGUCUACUCUUCUGCCUUAGAAAGAAGCCUUUAGAAGCAAAAGAAUUAUCUUAUAAUUCAGGCUUGGUCAGGGGCACAGGUCCAUCCCGCGGUGGUCUCCCACCAUGGAAAGGCACAGGAUGGGACGUCGGCUGACCCGAGCCAUGAGUGGGCUGAGGAGGGGAAAGCAGUGCAGCCGGCUUGGGGGCAAGCUGGGGCAUGUGAGUGUGUGUUUCGCAACAUUUCCAGCUACCUCGGUUCCCCCUGGCAUCCUCCUGCCUUCCUGCAGCCCCUGGCCCUCCUUCUUCUACCUGAGCCUUUGUCUUGCAGGCUCUGGGAUGGUGGGGAUCCUCUACACCAGGGUCUCCUGCUCGUCCUUGUACUAAAGCAGCAGCUGGGCAUUGUCAGAAUGGCUGAAGGAGGGACUCAGAGAGGCUGCAGGAGGGAGUCAGGCCUGGGGCGGGUGAGGGCUACUGUCCUAUGAGACCAGGAGAGCAGAUGAAGGACUCCUGAGCCCAGAGAGGACUUGGCCUGCCCAGAGUUACCCAAGAUGCCUGGGGAGGUGAGGCUUGGAGAGCUCAUGGAGUGAGUCCCAAAGACCCCAGCAGAGACAGUGGGCAGAAAGACUCCCGGGCCCUCUCUGUGGGGCUGAUUCACCCACGCGACAGCCACAGGGUGGGGAGGGGCUGGCCACAGCGGAGGGGUGCACUGACCUGAGAGCCCAGUGCUGGGAGGCUGGCUCCGGGCACGUCACCGCCCCCGUCAUGUGCUCUCCUUGUGCCGCCGUCCCAGCAGCGCCCCAUCUCACCAACUCCCACCUUCAUGUGUGGCCGCCCACCUAGAGCCAUGCCUGAAGCCACUGUCCCUGACCACAAAGCUUUUGGCUGAUAGGAAGCAUGACAGCACUGGGGCCCUACACUGGAAGCGGGACCGUCCAGAGAAGAAGACUGCGCACAGGGAUCGGGAGCUGGGACACACGUUAGUCAAGGUGUACGAGGGAGGAAUCACCGCCAUGUGGAGCCACUACUCGGGGAGGACGUGGGCCACCCGGAGCUCAGUGACAGUACUCCCGGGAGUGUACAUCGUUGGUAAUGUCCACGACAGUGUCCCUGCCUGUGACCCAAUAAUUUCCCAUCCAGGGACACACUUCACAGAAAUGCACGCACAGGCACAACAGCAUCGAAUGGGAGAGCUGCACAGAGCCUCUUCAUAGCAUCCCCAAACUGGAAGCAACCCAAACACCUAGCGGACACAAAUGAGUAGAAAAUGAACAAAGGAGCAUUAUAAGCAAUGAAAACAGUGAACCAGAGAGACGCACAUGAGACAGGCUCCAUCUCACAAGCCUGAGGUUUAGGAAGAGAAGCAACCAAGACCCCACGUUGGCCAGGCACGGUGGCUCAUGCCUGUAAUCCCAAUACUUUGGGACGCCAAGGCAGGUGGAUCACCUGAGGUCAGGAGUUCGAGACCAGUCUGACCAAUGUGGUGAAACCCCAUCUCUACUAAAUACAAACAAAUUAGCCAGGUGUGGUAGCACAUGUCUGUAAUUUCAGCUACUUGGGAGACUGAGGCAGGACAAUCGUUUGAAUCCGGGAGGCGGAGGUUGCAGUGAGCUGAGAUUGCACCACUGCGCUCCAGCCUGGGCAAUACGAGCGAAACUCCAUCUAAAAAAAAAAAAAAAAAGCCCAGGCAAUAUGACGCCACUUCCAGAAAACUCUAAGACAGGCACAAGAAAGACCACUACCCUGUAUGGUUUAGGGGUUACAUCUAGGCGGCAAAGCAAACAUCUACAGAGAAGGGAGACAAAGAUGCGACUGGGAAUGGCCCAUGGCAGCUGCCUUCCUGGGGCGGGACACAGUUCUGGGGGGGUUCAUAAGGUCUCAUUUCCCAUAUCUCGGGUGGUUUCACUCAGCCAUUCAUACACAGGAAAAACAUAACAAGAAAUGUGUAGACCUUUAGGAUGAAACUUCAAAAUGCUCCUGAAGAACACAGGGUACAG